AUGUGUAUGAGUGUGGGCCAUUCUCUGAAGCAUGGCGAGACUACGAACAUUACACCUUCAAAAAAGAGUGAUUUUUUUUCCUUCUUCAACAGCUAUCAACUGGUCAUAGUCCUCUGCAUGGAGGAGGACCCACCUAGAGCACCUUCCCAUUUGUGUGAGAACUUGACUGACUUAGUUUUAUGGGUGAGCCAAGGAAAGCAGGUGGAACAGAAUUCUUCUACCCUGAGAGUCCAGGAUGGAGCCAGCGCCGUCAUCAACUGCACAUAUGUAGACAGAACCUCGUACAACUUCUUUUGGUAUAAACAAGGACUUGGAGAGCAUCCUAAGCUCAUUGUUGACAUUCAUUCUAAUAUGGAAAGAAAGCAUGAUGAAAGCCUGAUAGUUUUACUGGAUAAGAAAGCCAACCACUUCUCCCUGCACAUCACAGAUGCCCAGCCUGAAGACUCUGCCAUGUAUUUCUGUGCCACAGAUACACACUGCUCCCCAGGCACCUGCAGUCUGUCCUCUAACCAGUCAUAGAGCCUGGAGCCCCAUCCACAUCCUGGGUCACAGGUUUCCAAUGGAGAAUAUGCCAGUUGUUAGUGGGCAAGUGCCAACUAUAAUGCUGACAUUAAAAACACAAAAUAAGAAAGUUAGCUUCAAGUAACUGAAGAAUUUUGGACAAUUUUUUCCUUUGUUUUCAAAAAGUAUUUUAAUAUUUGAAACACAAUUUUGUUAUUCUCUUUCCCUGGUUAUAGUACUUAACUGAAAUCACAGAUAAUCGGAACUCACUGCUUUUCAGAGAAGAAGAUGCUGUCGAACACUCAGCCCCCAGAUGGCAGAUCUCCAUCACACAACCUCCUCCCAAGGUCAGAGGUCACUGAGGAAGAGGGGAUGGGAAAAAUGUCAGAACCAUAGGUGGGGGAUGACUACAAGGAGACGGUGUUUUCUGGACACAGCAGGGCAGCUGCACACAUGAACUCACAGAGGUUUACAGCACACAUAUAUUUUGCAAAUAACCAGGUCAGACAAAAUUUGAUCAAGACAUAAAGGUGCUCAUUCCUACCUUUAACUAAGAAGCUUUGUGAAGUUGGUAGCUGCUGGGAGAGAAACUCGGGUUUCUCUCAAGGUAAAUCUCCUAGUGCAUAGACCUCCCUCCAGUGAAGGCCACUCUUCCGAGAGUAUAUGGGUAGCACAUCCUGUAAUGCAAACUUUGAUGCAUUUUAUUUUUUAAAUGGGUGAACAAAACUGGGUUUGUAGUGAAGAGUGGAUGGGUCUGGCAGGAUUGAAGGAAGU
Myodes glareolus (Bank vole) is the source of this 1275-nucleotide non-coding RNA. The record is from the annotation of a RefSeq genome assembly. NCBI's taxonomy places the organism in Eukaryota, Metazoa, Chordata, Mammalia, Rodentia, Cricetidae.